Molecule: transfer-messenger RNA, 389 nt
Filed under: Bacteroidales bacterium
Lineage: Bacteria; Pseudomonadati; Bacteroidota; Bacteroidia; Bacteroidales
Description: partial transfer-messenger RNA
Rfam family: transfer-messenger RNA
About the family: Bacterial tmRNA, also known as 10Sa RNA or SsrA, is named for its dual tRNA and mRNA-like properties. Its role is to liberate the mRNA from a stalled ribosome.
Source: RNAcentral
GGGGGCGACUGGUUUUGACAGCGGUCAAAACAGAUAAGCAAGCAUGCAGUGAACGGCCACAAAUCACUUUAAUCCAUGUGGUAAAGCUAUAACUGGCGAAAACAACUACGCUCUUGCUGCGUAAUCGAAGUACAGUAGAUUAGCGCUUUAUCCUUGCCAAAGUGGCAGGGACGAGACAUCACCCCGUUGCUGUGGUUCCGAAGCGUUCGGACAAGGUGGUGCAGAAAUAUCGGAAAUAGGAAAAGGAGCGCUCUGAUUCUUUUCUGAAGUUUUAAGAGAUAAGCGUCAAGUGGAUGGCUUCGGUUUUGCUUGACGACGAAAACCUAAGCGAAGAUAAGCAUGUAGAAACCUUAUAGGUUUUCCGUUUGGACGAGGGUUCGAUCCCCUCC